Molecule: ribosomal RNA, 763 nt
Filed under: uncultured bacterium
Lineage: Bacteria
Description: bacterial SSU rRNA
Rfam family: Bacterial small subunit ribosomal RNA
Source: RNAcentral
UGGCAGGCUAGAGUCUUGUAGAGGGGGGUAGAAUUUCAGGUGUAGCGGUGAAAUGCGUAGAGAUCUGAAGGAAUACCAGUGGCGAAGGCGGCCCCCUGGACAAAGACUGACGCUCAGAUGCGAAAGCGUGGGUAGCAAACAGGAUUAGAUACCCUGGUAGUCCACGCCGUAAACGCUGUCUACUUGGAGGUUGAGGUUUAGACUUUGGCUUUCGGCGCUAACGCAUUAAGCAGACCGCCUGGGGAGUACGGCCGCAAGGUUAAAACUCAAAUGAAUUGACGGGGGCCCGCACAAGCGGUGGAGCAUGUGGUUUAAUUCGAUGCAACGCGAAGAACCUUACCUACUCUUGACAUCCAGCGAAGCCUUUAGAGAUAGAGGCGUGCCUUCGGGAGCGCUGAGACAGGUGCUGCAUGGCUGUCGUCAGCUCGUGUUGUGAAAUGUUGGGUUAAGUCCCGCAACGAGCGCAACCCUUAUCCUUGUUUGCCAGCACGUAAUGGUGGGAACUCCAGGGAGACUGCCGGUGAUAAACCGGAGGAAGGUGGGGACGACGUCAAGUCAUCAUGGCCCUUACGAGUAGGGCUACACACGUGCUACAAUGGCAGAUACAGAGGGCAGCGAAGCUGCGAAGUGGAGCGAAUCCCUUAAAGUCUGUCGUAGUCCGGAUUGGAGUCUGCAACUCGACUCCAUGAAGUCGGAAUCGCUAGUAAUCGUGGAUCAGAAUGCCACGGUGAAUACGUUCCCGGGCCUUGUACACACCGCCCGU